GGAAGGGGUGUAUUUAUUAGAUAAAAAACCAACGCCCUUCGGGGCUCCUUGGUGAAUCAUAAUAACUUAACGAAUCGCAUGGCCUUGCGCCGGCGAUGGUUCAUUCAAAUUUCUGCCCUAUCAACUUUCGAUGGUAGGAUAGUGGCCUACCAUGGUGGCAACGGGUAACGGGGAAUUAGGGUUCGAUUCCGGAGAGGGAGCCUGAGAAACGGCUACCACAUCCAAGGAAGGCAGCAGGCGCGCAAAUUACCCAAUCCCGAUACGGGGAGGUAGUGACAAUAAAUACUGAUACGGGGCUCUUUUGGGUCUCGUAAUUGGAAUGAGAACAAUUUAAAUCCCUUAACGAGGAACAAUUGGAGGGCAAGUCUGGUGCCAGCAGCCGCGGUAAUUCCGGCUCCAAUAGCGUAUAUUAAAGUUGUUGCAGUUAAAAAGCUCGUAGUUGAACCUUGGGUCUGGUUGGCCGGUCCGCCUCACCGCGAGUACUGGUCCGGCUGGACCUUUCCUUCUGGGGAACCUCAUGGCCUUCACUGGCUGUGGGGGGAACCAGGACUUUUACUGUGAAAAAAUUUAGAGUGUUCAAAGCAGG
Molecule: ribosomal RNA, 586 nt
Filed under: Pezizomycotina sp. T31902FG5
Lineage: Eukaryota; Fungi; Ascomycota
Description: SSU rRNA
Rfam family: Eukaryotic small subunit ribosomal RNA
Source: RNAcentral